GUUGAACGCUGGCGGCAGGCCUAACACAUGCAAGUCGAACGGUAACAGGAAGCAGCUUGCUGCUUUGCUGACGCGUGGCAGGCGGGAGUGAAAUGUCGGGGACACAGCCUGAUGGCGGGGGAUAACUACUGGAAACGGUAGCUAAUACCGCAUAACGUCUCAACACCAAAGAGGGGGACCUUCAGGCCUCCUUCCUGCCGAUUUGCCCAGAUUCCAUUCGGCAUUAGCUAGUGGGUAGGGUAACGGCUGACCAAGGCGACGAUGCCUAGCUGAUCUGAGAGGAUGAUCAGCCACACUGGAACUGAGACACGGUCCAGACUCCUACGGGAGGCAGCAGUGGGGAAUCUUGCGCGAUGGGCGAAAGCCUGAUGCAGCCACGCCGCGUGUAUGAAGAAGGCCUUCGGGUUGUAAAGUUCUGUUAUUGGGGAAGAAGAGAUUUAAGUGAAAACCUGUGCUCAUUGACGUUACCCGAAGAAGAAGCCCCGGCUAACUACGUG
This 497-nucleotide ribosomal RNA is filed under the name uncultured bacterium. RNAcentral describes it as "partial 16S ribosomal RNA". It matches the Rfam family "Bacterial small subunit ribosomal RNA", at positions 28 to 507 of the family's 1533-position model. The record is from RNAcentral.